RNAcentral lists this ribosomal RNA (407 nucleotides) under uncultured bacterium. RNAcentral describes it as "partial 16S ribosomal RNA". It matches the Rfam family "Bacterial small subunit ribosomal RNA", at positions 30 to 526 of the family's 1533-position model. The record is from RNAcentral.
AUUGAACGCUGGCGGCAGGAAUAACACAUGCAAGUCGAGAGGAGCGGCGGACGGGUGAGUAAUGCCUAGGAAUCUGCCUGGUAGUGGGGGAUACCGUCCGGAAACGGGCGCUAAUACCGCAUACUAUCAGAUGAGCCUAGGUGGGAUGAGCUCGUUGGUGUGGUAAAGGCUUACCAAGGCGACGAUCCGUAACUGGUCUGAGAGGAUGAUCAGUCACACUGGAACUGAGACACGGUCCAGACGCCUACGGUAGGCAGAAGUGGGAAAUAUUUGACAAUGGGCGAAAGCCUGAUCCAGCCAUGCCGCGUGUGUGAAGAAGGUCUUCGGAUUGUAAAGCACUUUAAGUUGGGAGGCGUUACCAACAGAAUAAGCACCGGCUAACUUCGUGCCAGCAGCCGCGGUAAUUC